Molecule: RNA transcript, 3698 nt
Organism: Enhydra lutris kenyoni (northern sea otter)
Lineage: Eukaryota; Metazoa; Chordata; Mammalia; Carnivora; Mustelidae
Gene name: ATPase Na+/K+ transporting subunit alpha 1
Exons: 22
Source: RefSeq, a predicted model, not a curated record
AGGCGGACACGUGGCAGCAGCAGCGGUAGCAACCUUAGCGGCGGCAUCGGCCCCAGCCGCCGGCCGGUCUCCCUCCUUCCCGCCCCGCGGCAGCCCUAGCUCCCUCCUCUCCGCUCCCCCGGCCGCGCUAGCUCGGCCGGGAGCUGCUCUCUUCUUUCCUCUCUGAUUCUCGAGCGACAGGACCCGGCGGCGCGCACAGACCUCCGCCACCAUGGGGAAAGGGGUCGGACGUGAUAAAUAUGAACCCGCAGCCGUUUCAGAGCAUGGCGACAAGAAGAAGGCGAAGAAAGAGCGGGAUAUGGAUGAACUGAAGAAAGAAGUUUCUAUGGAUGACCAUAAACUUAGCCUUGACGAACUUCAUCGCAAAUAUGGAACAGACCUGAGUCGAGGCCUGACGACUGCUCGGGCUGCGGAGAUCCUGGCUCGCGACGGCCCCAACGCGCUCACCCCGCCUCCCACCACCCCCGAGUGGGUCAAGUUCUGUCGGCAGCUCUUUGGGGGCUUCUCGAUGUUACUGUGGAUCGGAGCAUUACUUUGUUUCCUAGCUUACGGCAUCCAGGCGGCCACGGAGGAGGAGCCUCAAAACGAUAACCUUUAUCUUGGUGUGGUACUAUCAGCUGUCGUCAUCAUAACUGGUUGUUUCUCCUACUAUCAAGAAGCUAAAAGUUCCAAGAUCAUGGAAUCCUUCAAAAACAUGGUCCCCCAGCAAGCCCUGGUGAUUCGAAAUGGUGAAAAAAUGAGCAUUAACGCAGAGGAAGUUGUAGUUGGGGAUCUGGUGGAAGUGAAAGGAGGGGACCGAAUUCCUGCUGACCUCAGAAUCAUCUCUGCCAACGGCUGCAAGGUGGGUUCAGCGGGGUCCCCGGGCUCAGGCGGAGUGCACAGGAUGGCCCGGCGUGUGUUCACACAGCCCUCUUACUUGUCUCACGGACAGGUGGACAACUCCUCACUCACUGGUGAAUCAGAGCCCCAGACUAGGUCUCCAGACUUCACAAAUGAAAACCCCCUGGAAACGAGGAACAUUGCCUUCUUUUCAACCAACUGUGUGGAAGGUACCGCGCGUGGCAUUGUCGUGUAUACCGGGGAUCGCACCGUGAUGGGAAGAAUUGCCACACUUGCUUCUGGACUGGAAGGAGGACAGACUCCCAUUGCUGCUGAAAUUGAGCAUUUUAUCCAUAUCAUCACGGGUGUGGCCGUGUUCCUAGGUGUGUCCUUCUUCAUCCUUUCUCUUAUCCUUGAGUACACCUGGCUCGAGGCCGUCAUCUUUCUCAUCGGCAUCAUCGUAGCCAACGUGCCCGAAGGUCUGCUGGCCACUGUCACGGUAUGUCUGACCCUUACUGCCAAACGCAUGGCAAGGAAAAACUGCUUAGUGAAGAACUUAGAAGCUGUGGAGACCUUGGGGUCCACAUCUACCAUCUGCUCGGAUAAAACUGGAACUCUGACUCAGAACCGGAUGACAGUGGCCCACAUGUGGUUCGACAAUCAAAUUCAUGAAGCCGACACGACAGAGAAUCAGAGUGGUGUCUCAUUUGACAAGAGUUCAGCCACCUGGCUCGCUUUGUCCAGAAUUGCGGGUCUCUGUAACAGGGCGGUGUUUCAGGCAAACCAGGAAAACCUACCUAUCCUUAAGCGGGCAGUGGCAGGCGACGCCUCGGAGUCCGCGCUCUUGAAAUGCAUCGAGCUGUGCUGUGGCUCUGUGAAGGAGAUGAGAGAGCGAUACGCCAAGAUCGUAGAGAUCCCCUUCAACUCCACCAACAAGUACCAGCUGUCCAUCCACAAGAACCCCAACACGUCUGAGCCCCGACACCUGUUGGUGAUGAAGGGCGCCCCGGAAAGGAUCUUGGACCGCUGCAGCUCCAUCCUCCUGCACGGCAAGGAGCAGCCCCUGGAUGAGGAGCUGAAGGACGCCUUCCAGAACGCCUACCUGGAGCUCGGCGGCCUCGGAGAGCGCGUGCUAGGUUUCUGCCACCUGUUUCUGCCCGAUGAACAGUUUCCUGAAGGGUUCCAGUUUGACACAGAUGAGGUGAACUUCCCUGUUGAAAACCUCUGCUUUGUGGGCCUCAUCUCCAUGAUUGACCCUCCGCGGGCCGCUGUCCCUGACGCUGUGGGCAAAUGUCGCAGUGCUGGCAUUAAGGUCAUCAUGGUCACUGGAGACCAUCCAAUCACAGCCAAAGCCAUUGCCAAAGGUGUGGGCAUCAUCUCAGAAGGCAACGAGACCGUGGAAGACAUCGCUGCCCGCCUCAACAUCCCAGUGAGCCAGGUGAACCCCAGAGACGCCAAGGCCUGUGUGGUGCAUGGAAGCGACCUGAAGGACAUGACCUCUGAGCAGCUGGAUGACAUUCUGAAGUACCACACGGAGAUCGUGUUUGCCAGGACUUCUCCUCAGCAGAAGCUUAUCAUCGUGGAAGGCUGCCAGAGACAGGGGGCUAUCGUGGCUGUAACUGGCGAUGGCGUGAACGACUCUCCAGCCCUGAAGAAGGCAGACAUUGGGGUUGCUAUGGGGAUCGCUGGCUCCGACGUGUCUAAGCAAGCUGCUGACAUGAUUCUUCUGGAUGACAACUUUGCAUCAAUUGUGACUGGAGUAGAAGAAGGUCGUCUGAUCUUUGAUAACUUGAAGAAAUCCAUUGCCUACACCCUGACCAGUAACAUUCCGGAGAUCACCCCCUUCCUGAUAUUUAUUAUUGCAAACAUUCCACUACCACUGGGGACCGUCACCAUCCUCUGCAUUGACUUGGGCACGGACAUGGUUCCUGCCAUCUCCCUGGCUUACGAGCAAGCUGAGAGCGACAUCAUGAAGAGACAGCCCAGAAACCCCAAAACGGACAAGCUUGUGAAUGAGCGGCUGAUCAGCAUGGCCUACGGGCAAAUCGGUAUGAUCCAGGCCCUGGGCGGCUUCUUCACGUACUUUGUGAUUUUGGCUGAGAACGGCUUCCUCCCGACCCACCUGCUGGGCCUGCGCGUGGACUGGGAUGACCGCUGGAUCAACGAUGUGGAGGACAGCUACGGGCAGCAGUGGACCUACGAACAGAGGAAGAUCGUGGAGUUCACUUGCCACACAGCCUUCUUUGUCAGUAUCGUCGUGGUGCAGUGGGCUGAUUUGGUCAUCUGUAAGACCAGGAGGAACUCUGUCUUCCAACAGGGGAUGAAGUGAGAACAAGAUCUUAAUAUUUGGCCUCUUUGAAGAGACGGCCCUUGCUGCUUUCCUUUCCUACUGCCCUGGAAUGGGUGUUGCCCUGAGGAUGUACCCCCUCAAACCUACCUGGUGGUUCUGUGCCUUCCCCUACUCUCUUCUUAUCUUCGUGUACGAUGAAGUCCGAAAACUCAUCAUCAGGCGACGCCCUGGAGGCUGGGUAGAGAAGGAGACCUACUACUAGACCCUGUGUCCUGCACGCCGCGGAGCAUCGCGCCACACACUUCGCACCCACCCCCACCCCCUUUGUGUACUUCAGUCUUGGAAUUCGGAACUCUACCCUGGUAGGAAAGCACCGAAGCAUGUGGGGGAGCGAGACGUCCUGGAAUGAAGCAUGUAGCUAUAUGGGGGGGAGGGGGGAGGGCUGCCUGAAAAACCUCGUCUAUGGGAGUGACAGCGGGGAUGGUUUUUAUGUGCCUUUUUGUUUUUGUAAAAAGGAAAACUUGGAAAGACUGAAAGAAUACAUUUUAUAUCUGGAUUUUUACAAAUAAAGAUGGCUAUUAUAAUGGAA